GGAUCGGCUGUAUGAUUAGGCCACAAUCUUCAAUGAGUAGACAUAUUCCUUUCUGUGGUGUUCUCGGUCACACAUUUAUGGAGUUUCUGAAGGGCAGUGGAGACUACUGCCAGGCACAGCACGACCUCUAUGCAGACAAGUGAACUGUAGAAAUUCAUUACUACUCCACCAAGAAGCCCCCAUAAGAGUGGAUAGCCUGGACACAGUCGUGUUGAAUUGAAAUCUGCAGAGCAUUUUCCAAGAGCUCAGACCUGGAUGGGGUAAACCUCAGUGCACUUCCUUUGUAUCGCCUCAGUAUUCCUGGAUUGAAGAGUCACUGCUUCUUGUGAGGAGGUUCAUUUCAUUGCCCGUUUCUCCCGACUCAUACUCAAAGCACUGAGAAUUUCAAGUGGAGUAUAUUGAAUAUUGAAGUAGACUUCAGGUUGUUUUUUGGUUUUGUUUUGGUUUUUUGUUUUGUUUUGUUUUGUUUUGUUUUGGUUUUCAGUUUUUGUUUGGAAUCAUUUCUGUAUUCAAUUUUUUAAUUCUUUCAUAACCCUAUUGGGUGUUUUUUUAAACUAAAUUAACAUGGCUCGAAUGAACCG
This 581-nucleotide long non-coding RNA is filed under the name Rattus norvegicus (Norway rat). RNAcentral's name for it is "long non-coding RNA NONRATT029889". The record is from RNAcentral. Lineage: Eukaryota; Metazoa; Chordata; Mammalia; Rodentia; Muridae.